GUGGGGAAUAUUGGGCAAUGGGCGAAAGCCUGACCCAGCAACGCCGCGUGAAGGAAGAAGGUUUUCGGAUCGUAAACUUCUAUCCUUGGUGAAGAUAAUGACGGUAGCCAAGAAGGAAGCCCCGGCUAACUACGUGCCAGCAGCCGCGGUAAUACGCAGUGGGCAAGCGUUGUCCGGCAUGAUUGGGCGUAAAGGGCGCGUAGGCGGCCCGGUAAGUCUGAAGUGAAAGUCCUGCUUUUAAGGUAGGAAUUGCUUUGGAUACUGUCGGGCUUGAGUGCAGGAGAGGUAAGCGGAAUUCCCGGUGUAGCGGUGAAAUGCGUAGAGAUCGGGAGGAACACCAGUGGCGAAGGCGGCUUACUGGACUGUAACUGACGCUGAGGCGCGAAAGUGUGGGGAGCAAACAGGAUUAGAUACCCGGGUAGUCC
RNAcentral lists this ribosomal RNA (425 nucleotides) under uncultured bacterium. RNAcentral describes it as "partial 16S ribosomal RNA". It matches the Rfam family "Bacterial small subunit ribosomal RNA", at positions 354 to 796 of the family's 1533-position model. The record is from RNAcentral.